Gadus macrocephalus (Pacific cod) is the source of this 465-nucleotide long non-coding RNA. RefSeq lists it as uncharacterized. The transcript is spliced from 3 exons. NCBI's taxonomy places the organism in Eukaryota, Metazoa, Chordata, Actinopteri, Gadiformes, Gadidae. The record is from RefSeq and is a predicted model, not a curated record.
UCCUCUUUCUCCCAGUUGGUAGUGCGUCUCCCAAAUCGCCCCUAUACACCAUCCGCCCCUGGUUGAAAACGAUAAACAAGUGAAAAAGAUCCUCCUACAGUUGUGGUGCCUCUCUCCUUCUGUGCGCUUCUGAUCAUCGGCUGAAUGGCUCUCCUCUCCCGCCACGAGACCAGAGGUUCUGAGUCCACCGUCCCGGAGCGACCGGACCCGGAGGAGGACUUGCUGGACCCGGAGGAGGACCUGCUGGCCGCUAGCCCGCGCCCACGACGACGGAGGAGGAGGAGCAUGAGUCAGCCGCCUUCAUUGGAAGCUGAUUCGACCGGGGAGGAUCCACCAGUGGACGUCUGCGACUGCGUACACACACACACUUCUCCGGUGGGUUCGCCAGAAAAAUCUAUGUAUGUGUCAACUGACCUCCAUGUAAUGAUGAUCACAGACAAUAAAAUAAACCGUUAAAAAAAUGUA